CGCGAAGAACCUUACCAGGUCUUGACAUCCUUUGACCAUCCUAGAGAUAGGACUUUCCCUUCGGGGACAAAGUGACAGGUGGUGCAUGGUUGUCGUCAGCUCGUGUCGUGAGAUGUUGGGUUAAGUCCCGCAACGAGCGCAACCCUUAUUGUUAGUUGCCAUCAUUCAGUUGGGCACUCUAGCGAGACUGCCGCAGACAAUGCGGAGGAAGGUGGGGAUGACGUCAAAUCAUCAUGCCCCUUAUGACCUGGGCUACACACGUGCUACAAUGGAGAGUACAACGAGUUGCGAAGUCGUGAGGCUAAGCUAAUCUCUUAAAGCUCUUCUCAGUUCGGAUUGUAGGCUGCAACUCGCCUACAUGAAGCCGGAAUCGCUAGUAAUCGCGGAUCAGCACGCCGCGGUGAAUACGUUCCCGGGUCUUGUACACACC
RNAcentral lists this ribosomal RNA (430 nucleotides) under uncultured bacterium. RNAcentral describes it as "bacterial SSU rRNA". It matches the Rfam family "Bacterial small subunit ribosomal RNA", at positions 960 to 1391 of the family's 1533-position model. The record is from RNAcentral.